This 440-nucleotide ribosomal RNA is filed under the name uncultured bacterium. RNAcentral describes it as "partial 16S ribosomal RNA". It matches the Rfam family "Bacterial small subunit ribosomal RNA", at positions 338 to 795 of the family's 1533-position model. The record is from RNAcentral.
CCUACGGGUGGCAGCAGUGAGGAAUAUUGGGCAAUGGAGGCAACUCUGACCCAGCCAUGCCGCGUGAGUGAAGAAGGUUUUCGGAUUGUAAAGCUCUUUCGGCUGUGACGAUGAUGACGGUAGCAUCUAAAGAAGCCCCUGCUAACUUCGUGCCAGCAGCCGCGGUAAUACGAAGGGGGCAAGCGUUGGUCGGAAUUACUGGGCGUAAAGGGAGUGUAGGCGGUUUAGUAAGAUAGUGGUGAAAUCCCAGGGCUUAACUUUGGAAUUGCCAUUAUAACUCUUAGACUAGAGUGAGAGAGAGGAGAGUGGAAUACCAAGUGUAGAGGUGAAAUGCGUAGAUAUUGGGUAGAACACCAGUGGCGAAGGCGACUAUCUGGAUGAAGAUUGACGCUGAGGCUCGAAAGCAUGGGGAGCAAACAGGAUUAGAUACCCUUGUAGUC